CACAUGCAAGUCGAGGGGCAGCAUUUUAGUUUGCUUGCAAACUAAAGAUGGCGACCGGCGCACGGGUGAGUAACACGUAUCCAACCUGCCGAUAACUCGGGGAUAGCCUUUCGAAAGAAAGAUUAAUAUCCGAURGYAUAUUAAUACCGCAUGRUAUUAAUAUUAAAGAAUUUCGGUUAUCGAUGGGGAUGCGUUCCAUUAGUUUGUUGGCGGGGUAACGGCCCACCAAGACUACGAUGGAUAGGGGUUCUGAGAGGAAGGUCCCCCACAUUGGAACUGAGACACGGUCCAAACUCCUACGGGAGGCAGCAGUGAGGAAUAUUGGUCAAUGGACGARAGUCUGAACCAGCCAAGUAGCGUGAAGGAUGACUGCCCUAUGGGUUGUAAACUUCUUUUAUAUGGGAAUAAAGUAUUCCACGUGUGGAAUUUUGUAUGUACCAUAUGAAUAAGGAUCGGCUAACUCCGUGCCAGCAGCCGCGGUAAUACGGAGGAUCCGAGCGUUAUCCGGAUUUAUUGGGUUUAAAGGGAGCGUAGGUGGAUUGUUAAGUCAGUUGUGAAAGUUUGCGGCUCAACCGUAAAAUUGCAGUUGAAACUGGCAGUCUUGAGUACAGUAGAGGUGGGCGGAAUUCGUGGUGUAGCGGUGAAAUGCUUAGA
RNAcentral lists this ribosomal RNA (654 nucleotides) under uncultured Bacteroidota bacterium. Its description in RNAcentral is "bacterial SSU rRNA". It matches the Rfam family "Bacterial small subunit ribosomal RNA", at positions 52 to 694 of the family's 1533-position model. Lineage: Bacteria; Pseudomonadati; Bacteroidota. The record is from RNAcentral.